RNAcentral lists this ribosomal RNA (468 nucleotides) under uncultured bacterium. RNAcentral's name for it is "partial 16S ribosomal RNA". It matches the Rfam family "Bacterial small subunit ribosomal RNA", at positions 28 to 507 of the family's 1533-position model. The record is from RNAcentral.
GACGAACGCUGGCGGCGUGCUUAACACAUGCAAGUCGAACGGAAAGGCACUGCUUUUGUGGGGUGCUCGAGUGGCGAACGGGUGAGUAACACGUGAGUAACCUGCCCUUGACUUUGGGAUAACUUCAGGAAACUGGGGCUAAUACCGGAUAGGAGCUCCUGCUGCAUGGUGGGGGUUGGAAAGUUUCGGCGGUUGGGGCUGGAUUCGCGGCUUAUCAGCUUGUUGGUGGGGUAGUGGCUUACCAAGGCUUUGACGGGUAGCCGGCAUGAGAGGGUGACCGGCCACAUUGGGACUGAGGGACGGCGCAGACGGCUACAGGAGGCAGCAGUGGGGAAUAUGGCACAGUGGUCGGGAGCCGGAUGCAGCAGCGCCGCGGGCGGAAUGACGGCCUUCUGGGUGUAAAACGCUGUCGCCUGUGACGAAGCGUGAGUGACGGUAAUGGGUGAAGAAGCACCGGCUAACUACGUG